Molecule: ribosomal RNA, 466 nt
Filed under: uncultured bacterium
Lineage: Bacteria
Description: partial 16S ribosomal RNA
Rfam family: Bacterial small subunit ribosomal RNA
Source: RNAcentral
GAUGAACGCUGGCGGCGUGCUUAACACAUGCAAGUCGAACGGAAAGGCUCCUGCUUGCAGGGGUACUCGAGUGGCGAACGGGUGAGUAACACGUGGGUGAUCUGCCCUGCACUUCGGGAUAAGCCUGGGAAACUGGGUCUAAUACCGGAUAGGACGAUGGUUUGGAUGCCAUUGUGGAAAGUUUUUUCGGUGUGGGAUGAGCUCGCGGCCUAUCAGCUUGUUGGUGGGGUAUUGGCCUACCAAGGCGUCGACGGGUAGCCGGCCUGGGAGGGUGUACGGCCACAUUGGGACUGAGAUACGGCCCAGACUCCUACGGGAGGCAGCAGUGGGGAAUAUUGCACAAUGGGCGCAAGCCUGAUGCAGCGGCGCCGCGUGGGGGAUGACGGCCUUCGGGUUGUAAACUCCUUUCGCUAGGGACGAAGCGCAAGUGACGGUACCUGGAGAAGAAGCACCGGCUAACUACGUG